GACGAACGCUGGCGGCGCGCCUAACACAUGCAAGUCGAACGAGCGAGAGAGAGCUUGCUUUCUCGAGCGAGUGGCGAACGGGUGAGUAACGCGUGAGGAACCUGCCUCAAAGAGGGGGACAACAGUUGGAAACGACUGCUAAUACCGCAUAAGCCCACGGCUCGGCAUCGAGCAGAGGGAAAAGGAGCAAUCCGCUUUGAGAUGGCCUCGCGUCCGAUUAGCUAGUUGGUGAGGUAAUGGCCCACCAAGGCGACGAUCGGUAGCCGGACUGAGAGGUUGAACGGCCACAUUGGGACUGAGACACGGCCCAGACUCCUACGGGAGGCAGCAGUGGGGAAUAUUGCACAAUGGGGGAAACCCUGAUGCAGCGACGCCGCGUGGAGGAAGAAGGUCUUCGGAUUGUAAACUCCUGUUGUUGAGGAAGAUAAUGACGGUACUCAACAAGAAAGUGACGGCUAACUACGUGCCAGCAGCCGCGGUAAAACGUAGGUCACAAGCGUUGUCCGGAAUUACUGGGUGUAAAGGGAGCGCAGGCGGGAAGACAAGUUGGAAGUGAAAUCCAUGGGCUCAACCCAUGAACUGCUUUCAAAACUGUUUUUCUUGAGUAGUGCAGAGGUAGGCGGAAUUCCCGGUGUAGCGGUGGAAUGCGUAGAUAUCGGGAGGAACACCAGUGGCGAAGGCGGCCUACUGGGCACCAACUGACGCUGAGGCUCGAAAGUGUGGGUAGCAAACAGGAUUAGAUACCCUGGUAGUCCACACUGUAAACGAUGACUACUAGGUGUUGGAGGAUUGACCCCUUCAGUGCCGCAGUUAACACAAUAAGUAAUCCACCUGGGGAGUACGACCGCAAGGUUGAAACUCAAAGGAAUUGACGGGGGCCCGCACAAGCAGUGGAGUAUGUGGUUUAAUUCGACGCAACGCGAAGAACCUUACCAAGUCUUGACAUCCCUUGACGAUGCUGGAAACAGUAUUUCUCUUCGGAGCAAGGAGACAGGUGGUGCAUGGUUGUCGUCAGCUCGUGUCGUGAGAUGUUGGGUUAAGUCCCGCAACGAGCGCAACCCUUAUGGUCAGUUACUACGCAAGAGGACUCUGGCCAGACUGCCGUUGACAAAACGGAGGAAGGUGGGGAUGACGUCAAAUCAUCAUGCCCUUUAUGACUUGGGCUACACACGUACUACAAUGGCGUUAAACAAAGAGAAGCAAGACCGCGAGGUGGAGCAAAACUCAGAAACAACGUCCCAGUUCGGACUGCAGGCUGCAACUCGCCUGCACGAAGUCGGAAUUGCUAGUAAUCGCAGAUCAGCAUGCUGCGGUGAAUACGUUCCCGGGCCU
Molecule: ribosomal RNA, 1332 nt
Filed under: uncultured bacterium
Lineage: Bacteria
Description: bacterial SSU rRNA
Rfam family: Bacterial small subunit ribosomal RNA
Source: RNAcentral